CCUACGGGGGGCAGCAGUGGGGAAUAUUGGACAAUGGGGGGAACCCUGAUCCAGCCAUGCCGCGUGUGUGAAGAAGGCCCUCGGGUUGUAAAGCACUUUCAGUGAGGAAGAACGCCUGGUGGUUAAUACCCAUCAGGAAAGACAUCACUCACAGAAGAAGCACCGGCUAACUCCGUGCCAGCAGCCGCGGUAAUACGGAGGGUGCGAGCGUUAAUCGGAAUUACUGUGCGUAAAGCGCGCGUAGGUGGCUUGAUAAGCCGGUUGUGAAAGCCCCGGGCUCAACCUGGGAACGGCAUCCGGAACUGUCAGGCUAGAGUGCAGGAGAGGAAGGUAGAAUUCCCGGUGUAGCGGUGAAAUGCGUAGAGAUCGGGAGGAAUACCAGUGGCGAAGGCGGCCUUCUGGACUGACACUGACACUGAGGUGCGAAAGCGUGGGUAGCAAACAGGAUUAGAUACCCGAGUAGUC
RNAcentral lists this ribosomal RNA (465 nucleotides) under Vreelandella stevensii. RNAcentral's name for it is "partial 16S ribosomal RNA". It matches the Rfam family "Bacterial small subunit ribosomal RNA", at positions 338 to 795 of the family's 1533-position model. The record is from RNAcentral. Lineage: Bacteria; Pseudomonadati; Pseudomonadota; Gammaproteobacteria; Oceanospirillales; Halomonadaceae.